AGCUUGCUACCUGACCUAGCGGCGGACGGGUGAGUAAUGCCUAGGAAUCUGCCUAUUAGUGGGGGACAACAUUCCGAAAGGAAUGCUAAUACCGCAUACGCCCUACGGGGGAAAGCAGGGGAUCUUCGGACCUUGCGCUAAUAGAUGAGCCUAAGUCAGAUUAGCUAGUUGGUGGGGUAAAGGCCUACCAAGGCGACGAUCUGUAGCGGGUCUGAGAGGAUGAUCCGCCACACUGGGACUGAGACACGGCCCAGACUCCUACGGGAGGCAGCAGUGGGGAAUAUUGGACAAUGGGCGAAAGCCUGAUCCAGCCAUGCCGCGUGUGUGAAGAAGGCCUUUUGGUUGUAAAGCACUUUAAGCGAGGAGGAGGCUACUUGGAUUAAUACUCUAGGAUAGUGGACGUUACUCGCAGAAUAAGCACCGGCUAACUCUGUGCCAGCAGCCGCGGUAAUACAGAGGGUGCGAGCGUUAAUCGGAUUUACUGGGCGUAAAGCGUGCGUAGGCGGCUUUUUAAGUCGGAUGUGAAAUCCCUGAGCUUAACUUAGGAAUUGCAUUCGAUACUGGGAAGCUAGAGUAUGGGAGAGGAUGGUAGAAUUCCAGGUGUAGCGGUGAAAUGCGUAGAGAUCUGGAGGAAUACCGAUGGCGAAGGCAGCCAUCUGGCCUAAUACUGACGCUGAGGUACGAAAGCAUGGGGAGCAAACAGGAUUAGAUACCCUGGUAGUCCAUGCCGUAAACGAUGUCUACUAGCCGUUGGGGCCUUUGAGGCUUUAGUGGCGCAGCUAACGCGAUAAGUAGACCGCCUGGGGAGUACGGUCGCAAGACUAAAACUCAAAUGAAUUGACGGGGGCCCGCACAAGCGGUGGAGCAUGUGGUUUAAUUCGAUGCAACGCGAAGAACCUUACCUGGUCUUGACAUAGUAAGAACUUUCCAGAGAUGGAUUGGUGCCUUCGGGAACUUACAUACAGGUGCUGCAUGGCUGUCGUCAGCUCGUGUCGUGAGAUGUUGGGUUAAGUCCCGCAACGAGCGCAACCCUUUUCCUUAUUUGCCAGCGGGUUAAGCCGGGAACUUUAAGGAUACUGCCAGUGACAAACUGGAGGAAGGCGGGGACGACGUCAAGUCAUCAUGGCCCUUACGACCAGGGCUACACACGUGCUACAAUGGUCGGUACAAAGGGUUGCUACCUAGCGAUAGGAUGCUAAUCUCAAAAAGCCGAUCGUAGUCCGGAUUGGAGUCUGCAACUCGACUCCAUGA
Molecule: ribosomal RNA, 1251 nt
Filed under: uncultured Acinetobacter sp.
Lineage: Bacteria; Pseudomonadati; Pseudomonadota; Gammaproteobacteria; Moraxellales; Moraxellaceae
Description: bacterial SSU rRNA
Rfam family: Bacterial small subunit ribosomal RNA
Source: RNAcentral